This 794-nucleotide long non-coding RNA is filed under the name Homo sapiens (human). RNAcentral describes it as "HSALNT0020588". Lineage: Eukaryota; Metazoa; Chordata; Mammalia; Primates; Hominidae. The record is from RNAcentral.
CGGCCUCGCUGUAACGCAGAAGCGAAAUGUAGCGAGCCGGGUGUCGCGGCUGGACGCUCGCCUUGGCUGGGGGUGUGGGGGGGCACGCCGGGGGCCAAGGAGGACUGUCGAGGAGGAGUGAUGAGAAGAGGGGGUGCCCUGCACCCCCCGAGACCACGGGCCACGCUGCCACUUGCCAGGCGCCCCCCUUCCUCCCAGGCGAGGGGCAGGUGUUCCACACUGAUUCUCGUGACUUUAAGGACCAGGGAUUUGAAGAGGUAUUAGCUCUUCCCAGGAAGGGAGGAAGUUUCUGGAAGAGAAGGGAAAGACGGCAGACGCUGCGCUGGGACCAGCAGAGCCUGAGGAGCUGUGGGAAGCUGACAGAGCCCAGCCAAAGGAGCGGGAAGGAGCCGCAGCCCCAGGCUGGCACUGUGUUCUGAAAGAUUUGAACUCAAGCUGCUUUUUACGGAAGAGGGGCCACUUCAGAGGGCACCCCAGAAUUUGGUUGAGCUCUUCUACUCUGGAUGCCCCCUGCUCUGAGGAGCCUGCCACUGAGAACCAAAGAAGAUAAGAGGACAGAUACUUUUUCUUCAAGCACAGAGCUGGUGGGUUGGAGUCAGGCAUCUGCACCCCUAGUGGCUGUCUGGUGAGGAAUUUCUUGUUUCUUCCCAGCUUGCGGCUUCAGUGCUUGAUGGGGCUGCCUGUUGGUGGAUCAGUUUUUGCAGUGCCUGGUAGGAGUGGAGAGCCGUGGGAAGAGGUCCUGCGGCGCCCAAGCCUGGGUUCACCCCAAGACUAAGUUCUUUCCCAAGUUAGAG